AACAGGAUUAGAUACCCUGGUAGUCCACGCCGUAAACGAUGUCGACUUGGAGGUUGUUCCCUUGAGGAGUGGCUUCCGGAGCUAACGCGUUAAGUCGACCGCCUGGGGAGUACGGCCGCAAGGUUAAAACUCAAAUGAAUUGACGGGGGCCCGCACAAGCGGUGGAGCAUGUGGUUUAAUUCGAUGCAACGCGAAGAACCUUACCUACUCUUGACAUCCAGAGAACUUAGCAGAGAUGCUUUGGUGCCUUCGGGAACUCUGAGACAGGUGCUGCAUGGCUGUCGUCAGCUCGUGUUGUGAAAUGUUGGGUUAAGUCCCGCAGCGAGCGCAACCCUUAUCCUUUGUUGCCAGCGGGUUAUGCCGGGAACUCAAAGGAGACUGCCAGUGAUAAACUGGAGGAAGGUGGGGAUGACGUCAAGUCAUCAUGGCCCUUACGAGUAGGGCUACACACGUGCUACAAUGGCGCAUACAAAGAGAAGCGAUCUCGCGAGAGCAAGCGGACCUCAUAAAGUGCGUCGUAGUCCGGAUCGGAGUCUGCAACUCGACUCCGUGAAGUCGGAAUCGCUAGUAAUCGUAGAUCAGAAUGCUACGGUGAAUACGUUCCCGGGCCUUGUACACACCGCCCGUCACACCAUGGGAGUGGGUUGCAAAAGAAGUAGGUAGCUUAACCUUCGGGAGGGCGCUUACCACUUUGUGAUUCAUGACUGGGGUGAAGUCGUAACAAGGUAACC
Molecule: ribosomal RNA, 731 nt
Filed under: uncultured bacterium
Lineage: Bacteria
Description: bacterial SSU rRNA
Rfam family: Bacterial small subunit ribosomal RNA
Source: RNAcentral